This 353-nucleotide ribosomal RNA is filed under the name uncultured bacterium. RNAcentral describes it as "partial 16S ribosomal RNA". It matches the Rfam family "Bacterial small subunit ribosomal RNA", at positions 355 to 700 of the family's 1533-position model. The record is from RNAcentral.
UGGGGAAUAUUGCACAAUGGGCGCAAGCCUGAUGCAGCCAUGCCGCGUGUAUGAAGAAGGCCUUCGGGUUGUAAAGUACUUUCAGCGGGGAGGAAGGCGAUAAGGUUAAUAACCUUGUCGAUUGACGUUACCCGCAGAAGAAGCACCGGCUAACUCCGUGCCAGCAGCCGCGGUAAUACGGAGGGUGCAAGCGUUAAUCGGAAUUACUGGGCGUAAAGCGCACGCAGUCGGUCUGUCAAGUCGGAUGUGAAAUCCCCGGGCUCAACCUGGGAACUGCAUUCGAAACUGGCAGGCUAGAGUCUUGUAGAGGGGGGUAGAAUUCCAGGUGUAGCGGUGAAAUGCGUAGAGAUCUG